GAAAACGCAGGCAGUAGCAAUAUCCACAUGUAGCAAAUCAAUGGGUUAUAAUCAUAAUAAUAGGCAAUAGUAUUAGGUAGAUAUAAAGACUAUGCAAUAACAACACAGCAACAAAGAACCAAAACCUGUCAAUCCCAAAUCGAUGAGUUAUAAAAUAGUAAUAAAAUAAUUGAUCAUUGAUUCAUAAAAGCACAAGAAGAGAA
RNAcentral lists this long non-coding RNA (203 nucleotides) under Trifolium pratense (red clover). RNAcentral describes it as "long non-coding RNA (TPRA_LNC000549)". Lineage: Eukaryota; Viridiplantae; Streptophyta; Magnoliopsida; Fabales; Fabaceae. The record is from RNAcentral.